AGCCUACCAGCGUAGCUCAACCCCCAAAAUCCAACAAUCCCCUAUCAAUACCCCCCCAAGACCCAGGACACAUCUAAACAAACCAUUUUUCCCCCUUAGUACGGGCGACGGAAAAGGACCCAUGAAGCGAUAGCAACAGUACCGCAAGGGAACGCUGAAAGAGAAAUGAAACAAAUCGUAUAAGCACCAAACAGCAGAGCUAAACCCUCGUACCUUUUGCAUCAUGACUUAGCAAGAAACGAUCAAGCAAAGAGAUUUUUUAGUUUGGUACCCCGAAACCAAGUGAGCUACUCCAAGACAGCCUGAAGGGCGCACCCGUCUCUGUGGCAAAAGAGUGGGAAGAGCUUUGAGUAGAGGUGACAGACCUACCGAACUUGGUUAUAGCUGGUUGUCCAACAAAUGAAUAGAAGUUCAGCCUUUUAUCCUCUCCCCCCACAACCUGCACCCCAAGCCCCACAGAAGAUAAAAGAGUUAGUCAAAGGGGGUACAGCCCCUUUGAAAAAGAUACAACUUUCCCAGAAGGGUUAAGAUCACACCACCAGACAAGGGGACAACAGUUCUAGUUGGCCUAAAAGCAGCCACCCAUAUGGAAAGCGUUAAAGCUCAGACACACCCCCACCCCCCAUUAUUCGGACCACCUAAUCUUACCCCCCUAACAAACACUGGACCUCCCCAUACCACUAUGGGGGAGAUUAUGCCAACAUGAGUAAUAAGAGACCCAGAAUCUCUCCUUGCACAAGUGUAAAUCGGAACGGACAUACCACCGAGAAUUAACGACCCCACAAUUGAGGGAACUGGAAUAUCAUGGCCCAACCACUAGAAAACCAUCCACCCCCACCCCGUUAACCUUACACCAGUGUGCCCGCAAGGAAAGACUAAAAGAAAAAGAAGGAACUCGGCA
This 901-nucleotide ribosomal RNA is filed under the name Fibramia amboinensis (Amboina cardinalfish). RNAcentral's name for it is "partial 16S rRNA". The stretch from base 193 to 901 matches the Rfam family "Bacterial large subunit ribosomal RNA", at positions 569 to 1719 of the family's 2925-position model. The record is from RNAcentral. Lineage: Eukaryota; Metazoa; Chordata; Actinopteri; Kurtiformes; Apogonidae.